RNAcentral lists this ribosomal RNA (587 nucleotides) under uncultured bacterium. RNAcentral's name for it is "bacterial SSU rRNA". It matches the Rfam family "Bacterial small subunit ribosomal RNA", at positions 338 to 916 of the family's 1533-position model. The record is from RNAcentral.
CCUACGGGAGGCAGCAGUGAGGAAUAUUGGACAAUGGGCGCAAGCCUGAUCCAGCCAUGCCGCGUGGGUGAAGAAGGCCUUCGGGUUGUAAAGCCCUUUUGUCCGGAAAGAAAAGCACGGGAUUAAUACUCUCGUGUGAUGACGGUACCGGAAGAAUAAGCACCGGCUAACUUCGUGCCAGCAGCCGCGGUAAUACGAAGGGUGCAAGCGUUACUCGGAAUUACUGGGCGUAAAGCGUGCGUAGGUGGUGCGUUAAGUCUGUCGUGAAAUCCCCGGGCUCAACCUGGGAAUGGCGAUGGAUACUGGCGCGCUAGAGUGAGGUAGAGGAGAGUGGAAUUCCCGGUGUAGCAGUGAAAUGCGUAGAGAUCGGGAGGAACAUCGGUUGCGAAGGCGGCUCUCUGGACCAUCACUGACACUGAGGCACGAAAGCGUGGGGAGCAAACAGGAUUAGAUACCCUGGUAGUCCACGCCCUAAACGAUGCGAACUGGACGUUGGGCUCAAUUGAGAGCUCAGUGUCGAAGCUAACGCGUUAAGUUCGCCGCCUGGGGAGUACGGUCGCAAGACUGAAACUCAAAGGAAUUGACGG